GACGAACGCUGGCGGCGGUGCUUAACACAUGCAAGUCGAGCGGUAAGGGCCCUUUCGGGGGUACACGAGCGGCGAACGGGUGAGUAACACGUGGGUGACCUGCCCUCAGCUCUGGGAUAAGCCUGGGAAACCGGGUCUAAUACUGGAUAUGACUCCAUGACGCAUGUUGUGGGGUGGAAAGCCUUGUGCGGCUGAGGAUGGGCCCG
Molecule: ribosomal RNA, 206 nt
Filed under: uncultured bacterium
Lineage: Bacteria
Description: partial 16S ribosomal RNA
Rfam family: Bacterial small subunit ribosomal RNA
Source: RNAcentral